AUGAGGAUCACCCUGGCAGCCUUCGAGAGCCACCUGCCCUUCCACGGCUCCACCCGAUGCUGCAUUCUAGUCACCGUCAGGCGGAGGUCGGCCACGGUCAGUCUCGAGUCACUAAUGGGUAUCCCCAACACCCCCCGGCACCGCCACAUCAGGUGGUUGUGCGUUGGGGUCCUCGCUUGGACGCUUUGGACCAUCUGCAACAAGCAUGUUAUUCAAAAAAUGCCUCUGCGACGUGCGACAGAUGCGAUCUUUAAAAUGUGUGGUUACCUGCAACUUUGGCGGCCGCUUAGCCGCACCCAGGAUAGGGACACCAUCGACAACCUCCUCGCCGACCUUCGCUCGAUGGCCUUCCGAGUGGCGCCUCUGCUUCCGCCCCCUCCCCCGGAGCCCGAUUAG
RNAcentral lists this ribosomal RNA (396 nucleotides) under Triticum aestivum (bread wheat). RNAcentral's name for it is "partial small subunit ribosomal RNA". The record is from RNAcentral. Lineage: Eukaryota; Viridiplantae; Streptophyta; Magnoliopsida; Poales; Poaceae.